GCUAAAGAGUGGACAAGUAAAAAAAUUGUAAAGGGAAGACAGUGAAAACUAUUAGAGUUGUCUCUCAAGUAUUUUUCUCUUUCCACCCCCAUGAUGUGUCCUCAUGCCUAAUUGGAAAUGCUGUGUAGGCUUGGAGAAGGCUGCCCCCUGCCACCACUGAGGACAACUACACUAAUACAGACAAGAGUGCCUCAACAGUUACACACUCGGGAGUUUGGGUUUUGCCAUAUGCAACUAGCUACCAUCUCCAACGCUUGUGCAAAACAAAAAAGAAAACUGCUAAGUCAGGAGCCGGACACUAGGGUGAAUGGUGUGCCGAGAGCCGGAGAGACCCAGGACGAUGGAAAGAGAAAGGAGGAUAAGAUCAUCUCGCCCACAGAGCCUCUCACCCCGACACACUGA
RNAcentral lists this long non-coding RNA (402 nucleotides) under Mastacembelus armatus (zig-zag eel). Its description in RNAcentral is "lncRNA (ENSMAMG00000024502.1)". The record is from RNAcentral. Lineage: Eukaryota; Metazoa; Chordata; Actinopteri; Synbranchiformes; Mastacembelidae.